UACGAAGGGGGCUAGCGUUGCUCGGAAUUACUGGGCGUAAAGGGCGCGUAGGCGGACAGUUUAGUCAUAGGUGAAAGCCCAGGGCUCAACCUUGGAAUUGCCUUUGAUACUGGCUGUCUUGAGUUCGGGAGAGGUGAGUGGAAUGCCGAGUGUAGAGGUGAAAUUCGUAGAUAUUCGGCGGAACACCAGUGGCGAAGGCGACUCACUGGCCCGAUACUGACGCUGAGGCGCGAAAGCGUGGGGAGCAAACAGG
RNAcentral lists this ribosomal RNA (253 nucleotides) under uncultured bacterium. Its description in RNAcentral is "partial 16S ribosomal RNA". It matches the Rfam family "Bacterial small subunit ribosomal RNA", at positions 524 to 776 of the family's 1533-position model. The record is from RNAcentral.